GCAUUUCAUAAAUUAUUUCGCUUCCAUUGUAUUGUACUACCUUUUCUGUUCAUUUAUUUGGGAUGUGUCAACUUCAGGUUGGGCUCCAAAGUUGCAAUGUUCCAGUAUUCCUCAGUCGAAAUUUACAAUGCCUACAAACCACAGCCUACUCUUGAGAUUCACAAUCCCGAUAUGCACAAAGAUGCCCCAAGGUUGCUGCCCUCGUGUUUCGUGCUCUGAUUGUUGAGUCUUCAAUGAGAGCUGAUUCCAGUUAUAUAGAGAGUUCAUACAAUAGAUGAAACGAUAUUGUGAUUCUCUCAAUGGUGGCUUCAUGAGCAAGCAAUCAUUCACCUUGUUCACUAAAAUUUCAGACUGUAGCUCAGAUAAGGCUUUGAGCAUUCCUUGCUACAAUGCUUCCGAGAGAAGGGAAACCGGCAAAGGGGAAAAGAGACGAAUAGAAGGGCAUUGGUGCCCUCUCACACACAGGCCAAGUAUACAUCCACAUG
Long non-coding RNA from Zea mays, 485 nucleotides. RefSeq lists it as uncharacterized. Lineage: Eukaryota; Viridiplantae; Streptophyta; Magnoliopsida; Poales; Poaceae. The transcript is spliced from 4 exons. The record is from RefSeq and is a predicted model, not a curated record.